UUUGAUCAUGGCUCAGGAUGAACGCUGACAGAAUGCUUAACACAUGCAAGUCGAUGGGGAAGUGGUGCUUGCACCAUGGUAACCAUGGCGGACGGGUGAGUAACGCGUAAGGGACUUACCUGCAGGACUGGGAUAACAGGGGGAAACUCCUGACAAGACCGGAUAAUGUCAUGGAGCUGCAUGGCUUUAUGAUGAAAGGAGACGCCUGCGGAGAGCCUUGCGUCCUAUUAGCUAGUUGGUGAGGUAAUGGCUCACCAAGGCGAAGAUAGGUAGCCGGCCUGAGAGGGUGGACGGCCACAAGGGGACUGAGAUACGGCCCUUACUCCUACGGGAGGCAGCAGUGGGGAAUAUUGGACAAUGGGGGCAACCCUGAUCCAGCAAUUCUGUGUGCACGAAGAAGGUUUUCGGAUUGUAAAGUGCUUUCAGCAGGGAAGAAGGAAGUGACGGUACCUGCAGAAGAAGCGACGGCUAAAUACGUGCCAGCAGCCGCGGUAAUACGUAUGUCGCGAGCGUUAUUCGGAAUUAUUGGGCAUAAAGGGCAUCUAGGCGGCCUGACAAGUCAGGGGUGAAAACCUGCGGCUCAACCGCAGGCCUGCCUUUGAAACUGUGAGGCUGGAGUACCGGAGAGGUGGACGGAACUGCACGAGUAGAGGUGAAAUUCGUAGAUAUGUGCAGGAAUGCCGAUGAUGAAGAUAGUUCACUGGACGGUAACUGACGCUGAAGUGCGAAAGCCGGGGGAGCGAACAGGAUUAGAUACCCUGGUAGUCCCGGCUGUAAACGAUGAUUACUGGGUGUGGGCAGUAAGACUGUCUGUGCCGAAGCAAUGCGAUAAGUAUCCGCCCUGGGGAGUACGGCCGNCAGGCUGAAACUCNAAGGAAUUGACGGGGACCCGCACAGCGGUGGAGCAUGUGGUUUAUUCGACGCACGCGAGGACCNUUACCAGAUCUGACAUCCCGCGAUGCCUGUGANAUGGGCAGUGCUUUGGGAACGCNGAGACAGUGGUGCAUGCUGUCGACACUCGUUUCCUGAAAUUUUUGGGUAAGUCCGGCA
This 1050-nucleotide ribosomal RNA is filed under the name uncultured bacterium. Its description in RNAcentral is "bacterial SSU rRNA". It matches the Rfam family "Bacterial small subunit ribosomal RNA", at positions 12 to 1091 of the family's 1533-position model. The record is from RNAcentral.